Maniola jurtina (meadow brown) is the source of this 162-nucleotide long non-coding RNA. RefSeq lists it as uncharacterized. Lineage: Eukaryota; Metazoa; Arthropoda; Insecta; Lepidoptera; Nymphalidae. The record is from RefSeq and is a predicted model, not a curated record. The transcript is spliced from 3 exons.
UUAAAAACCAUGGUUAUGUUGUGCGACCAUAUAGGAUUGCAAUAAGGUCAUAAUGUAGUAAUUUAAGAAUUAGGUUAGAAUCAUUAUUAUAAUCUGUUUUGGUUGCCAAAUAAGAAAUAAAUAAAUAAAAUAAUGAAGAAUUAUGAUAUUUCAUCAGAAUUU